RNAcentral lists this ribosomal RNA (465 nucleotides) under uncultured bacterium. RNAcentral's name for it is "partial 16S ribosomal RNA". It matches the Rfam family "Bacterial small subunit ribosomal RNA", at positions 28 to 507 of the family's 1533-position model. The record is from RNAcentral.
GACGAACGCUGGCGGCGUGCUUAACACAUGCAAGUCGUACGGUAAGGCCCUUUCGGGGGUACACGAGUGGCGAACGGGUGAGUAACAUGUGAGUAACCUGCCCACAACUUUGGGAUAACGCUAGGAAACUGGUGCUAAUACUGGAUAUGUGCUCCUGCUGCAUGGUGGGGGUUGGAAAGCUCCGGCGGUUGUGGAUGGACUCGCGGCCUAUCAGCUUGUUGGUGGGGUAGUGGCCUACCAAGGCGGCGACGGGUAGCCGGCCUGAGAGGGUGACCGGCCACAUUGGGACUGAGAUACGGCCCAGACUCCUACGGGAGGCAGCAGUGGGGAAUAUUGCACAAGGGGCGCAAGCCUGAUGCAGCAACGCCGCGUGCGGGAUGACGGCCUUCGGGUUGUAAACCGCUUUCAGCAGGGACGAAGCUUUUUGUGACGGUACCUGCAGAAGAAGCACCGGCUAACUACGUG